Molecule: transfer RNA, 73 nt
Filed under: Ailuropoda melanoleuca (giant panda)
Lineage: Eukaryota; Metazoa; Chordata; Mammalia; Carnivora; Ursidae
Rfam family: tRNA
About the family: Transfer RNA (tRNA) molecules are approximately 80 nucleotides in length. Their secondary structure includes four short double-helical elements and three loops (D, anti-codon, and T loops).
Source: Rfam by way of RNAcentral
ACUCGGCUGGCUCAGGCGGAAGAGUGUGUGACUUUUGAUCUCAGGGUCCUGAGUUCAAGCCUCACGCUGGGUG